AGGCCAAGCAUAACCAUGUUAUCGCUCGCCUGAUAAUUUUUCAUUUUUCAUUACUUUUAUCCCUAGCCACUUGGCGUAAGCUUUUCAUUACUAUUAUUUUUGAUCAUACUGCUUUUUCUGUGCUUUGGUGGUGGGUUAACCCGUCUUUAACAAACAAUACAGUAUAUCCGAAUUACAGGUUUACAAUCAUACCCCUGCUAUUCUUCUUGACCGUAGCUUCGGCGCACAUAACAGACUACUCAAAAGCCAAAUACAUUCCCAUCGUUGAUGGUCGAAUUUUGGUAUGGGAAGAGUUCGCAUUUGUAAGACACUCAGCGAAUCUCUCGGAGUAUAGGCGCGUGGUGGAAGAGACAGACGGAAUGACCGACAGGUUCCCACAAUCGCAUAUGCAAAAACUUUUGAGCGUUGAUACCGCUCACUUGCGUGACCUGCUCGAGUCAUUAAGCAUUCACCAUAGAGUAGCCAGGAGUUUAGACUUCCUAGGUAAAGCCUUAAAGGUAGUGGCGGGAACGCCGGACGCCGAGGAUUUUGAAAAAAUUAAAUUCAACGAAUUUCUACUCAUUGAUGCAAACAAUAGGCAAUUAAAUAUUAAUACCAAAGUCCAAGACCAAAUCAAUAAAAUAUCCACUACUGUCAAUCAACUUCUGAGGUCGGCUAAGGAAUCCCAAAUUGAUACGGGACACCUAUACGAGAUGUUACCAGCUCGUAAUAGGAUGACGGUAAUGGAGCUGCAGAAUUUGAUGCUUGCAGUCGCCCUUGCGAAAAUUAAUGUCGUUAGCCCUAGCAUACUAGAUCAUGCAGAAAAAACUGCUCCGUAACACCAGGGGCCACAUUUUGCCUACUGACACUAAGAAGUUCGUGCGCCCAGGAGCUCCACGCUGGAGGCACUGCGCACUGCGAAAUUCAGCAAAGUGACUUGCAUCCCGUCACUUACGUUGACGAUGGAAUUGUCAUUGUAAAUGAUCGCCCGGCUCGUGUGAGUGUGGACAAUGGCACUUACGUCCACGUACAGGGUACCUACCUCAUCACCUUCAUUGAGAGUACCACAGUCAACGAAACCCGGUUUGUUAAUCAGGACACAGCCCAGAAAAGGGCUCCGGGAGUAGCCACCUCGCCUUCUCUGAACGUCACUAUGGAACGAAACAUCCUUAGUCUUCCAUACCUUCAUCGUUUAAGUGAACGUAAUUUGGUCAAACGUGGUUUUAGGAAUUUGUUUAUUGGCUAUUUAUACCCGUUACUCGUGGAUUAAAAGGGUAUACUAGAUUCGUCGGAAAGUAUGUAACAGGUAGAAGGAAGAGUUUCCGAUACUCUUGAUCAGAAUCACUAGCCGAGUCGAUCUAGCCAUAUCCGUCUGUCCGUCCGUCCGUAUGUCCGUAUGAACGCUGAGAUCUCGGAAACUGUAAGAGCUAGAAUGUUGGGACUUGGUAUGUAGAUUCUUGGUCUUCCUGCGCAGGUAAGUUUGAACGAACGCCCACAUUUUUAAAAUAUUUUAAAAAUUUUUUCGAGAUUUUAUUUUUAUUAUCAAUACUCAUCUACAUGCAACAAAUUAUUGAAAUCGGGUCAUUAAUUAAAAACGAAACAAUUUGCGAACUUAAAAGAGUGCGAGAGGGACGAAGUUGUAUUAAUACAGGAAAUCGGCUGCUUACGAAAUUUAACUAGCGCCACAUAGGUGGCGCUUUUAUGUUAGCUGAGUAACGGGUAUCUGAUAGUAGAGGCCGUCGACUAUAGCGUUUUCUCUUGUUUUCUUUUGCAAAUUUGGAGGGUCAAGCUUGGAAUUGUCAAUAGUUUACGUCCUCCCUUCAAUUUAUCAAUUUUCAAGGUCCAUACAAAUCGACCCGCCCUAAUAUACACAUACAUAUACAUAUCGUCGAACACAACGUUUAAUUUGGUUGUUGUACUGUCCAGCUUGUGAAGACAAUGGUGUUGCAAAAAGCAUUGAGAAAGAUCGAUCUGUCGCGCAGCUGGAGACAUGUGCCCCAAGUCAAGAUAUUCCAGAAGAAAUGCUAAAACUUUGCUUUGAGCUGUGUGUUUCCAGCAAGGUUUCUCUCUUAAUUCCUAAGUCUACGCAUCGCUUGCUGAUAGGAUUCUACUAAAUUCUUUUCAGCCAAUGUCUUCCUUCGAAGUUGAAAAUGUGGAGUAUUCUACACCUAUAUCCCUAAGCAGAAUACUUAAAGGUGCUAGAGCUGCAUUCUGAAUGGGGCUGCAAAUAUUUCCAGACACUAUCCAGCCAAGCUUGUUCUUAUGUAAUAUUGACAAUUGCGAAAAAAAUGUAUUUUCCCCGGCAUACAUUAAACCAAAAAAAAAAAGAUCUUCACCAAUCAACAGAUCGACUAUAGAACACGGGGCCUGCUGGCUUUAAAAUUAGUGUCAAAUGCGUUAAAGGAGUCGCGAAAGCUUGCGUCCUGCGCCUGUGUAAAUAGCGCGGUAGGAAAAGAUGCUCCGCAACGACUCCUAAUAUAGACAAUGGCAGUAACUAACAGAACAAGGGGAAAGAGUAGGUAAGAACGGGCUACAAGCUCUGUCUUAUCUAAAUCGGUUAGCUCAUCCUGUGCUAAAAAUAAAUCCAUUGACUUCAGUUGCCGGGAAAAUGAAUCCUUCCGCUUAAAAAACUUAUACCCACUUGGCUCUGUUACGUGCGUUUCGAAGGCAUCAGGCGUUUUAAGGCUUUAAAUUAAUUUGGUAAGCACACAAAAAGGCAUGAGGAUGAGUACUGAGCGAAAGAUUUUCAGUUGAUGUGGUGAUGUGCUGACACCGAAAACGUUGCGAUUUGUAAGAAAUUAACCAAAGUGGUUAUAUGCGACACUAUACUUUGAAUUACGUCGGGGUCACCAAAAAGAUCUGCUUUGUUCGUGGUUCAAAACGCAUGUGUCGCUCGCUUGAUUCUUAUGUACAUCUUCUUCCCACCACGCUCCGCCGGCCGUGCGCAGCAUCGCUUGAAGUCAUAGCUUUUGAAUAACAAUGCGGCCGCUAUAUAAGGGUUUUUUCUCAGACUUUGAGCUAAGAAUCCGAGAGCCACCGAUUGAACUGUUGCCUUUUUUUUUGUAUAAUAAGUUACUUCCUAUCCAUGUAGGCGAAAAAUUUUGUAGCCACGCCGUUAGAUCGGAAUAACGCCACCGCCAAUGUAUGAAAUUAGAUUUUAAAUAAUACAAAAUUAGUUUGUUGAAAACGUAAAAAGCGUGCGGUAGUUUCUGGUGAUAUGUUUUGAUGACAUUGAACGAUGAUGAACUUAUUGAUAAGUGUGAGCGAGAAUAAUUCAUAUGAUUUUGUGAAUUGUUUUAUAUGAGGUGUUAAUUGUUGUAAUGUAUGAAACGAGCAGUGUGGAAUGUGUAAAACUAAAUAUUAAUAUUAGCAGCCUUAAUAAUACUCGACGUCCAAUUUUCAAUUGGUUAGUUUAGAGCAAUUUAUCAAAGUAAGUAUAAUGUAUUCAUUAAUGUAGCAGGAAUCACAAUGUUCAUUUCCAAGUAACCGAUAGAUAUCGCUAUAUUUAAGUAGUGUUGGGAAAUGUCUUUUUUGUGUGUAUUUUGAGCAAUUUAGCAAAGUAGAGGAUUAUUAACAAAAUACUGUAUAACCCUGAAAAAAGAAGUUUCUUGGUAAGCACGAACAUUCUUAAUGUGAUCACUAAAAGUACUUAAUUUCAGAAAAUUAGGUUUUAGUAUUAAAAUAGGAAUGAAAUAUUUUCAUUAGUACUACAAAACUUCAAAAGUAAAUAGUAUAUCAACAAGUACAAUUUGUGCUUAAAUCGAUAAUAUAACUCACUUAUUAUAUUUGCUAAAAAAGAACAAAUGUUGCUUAAUUUAAAUAGAAUUUUUACUACACUAAAGUAGAUAAAAAUAAAAAAAAAAUAUUUCCCACUUUCAUCGCAAGCAUUAAAGAGUGUUACAAAACAUAUCCUCACAACAAGCACAUUUUGUGCUUAGGUCGUAGAAAGUAAUAGGAAAUUAAUAAUUGUCCUUAUAUACUCUGAAACUCAUAUAUUACCGUACGCUUAUAUUUUCAAAACAUUAAAAUUUUUACAUAUAAACAAAAAACACAAUGAAUAAAAUAUUAUUUAUAAUUAAUAAUGAAGUUCUCCAAGCAAGCACAUUUUGUGCUUAGAUCGGAGAAAAAAUAAAAUAAAUAAUUAAUAAUUGUCCUUAUAUACAUAUGUACUCUGAAACGGAAUAUAUUUAAUUUUUCAUACAAUCCAAUCUACGCCUGAUUGCUUAUCCACAAUUGUGAUGAGCUGAAAAAAUAUAGAUAAAACUUGAACAAAAUUAAAAGUAUUCAUCGGAAUCAAAACAUUAAAAAAAAAGUAUAAAGAACUCUUUAUACAAUAAUCUAUUUAAGAAAUCACAUAUUAUUGUUUUGCCAUCUACAUAUAAUAUGUCUAUUAAGGUCUUAAACAUAUUUUCUAGCUGGUUUAUUGUACAACUCAAUCCCAGAAAUAGAGGUUAACUUCACGAAUAUUAUUAAUAUUAAUAUACCUAAUAUUUUAAUAAAUUUAACUCCAAAAACGUUUAACUUAAUACAUAUAAUAGGUAAAGUUUACUAUAGAACUAAAAUCUCGAUAUCAACACAAGAUGAUAUUUGAUAAGUCGAUACAAUUGAAUGGCUAGCCCCAGCUCUAGAAAAAGCCAUUCACUUUUGAUCUGAUCGCGUAGUGUCAAAGUUAUGUGAAAAUGAGUGCAAGUGACGCGAAGCUGGAAGAGUUUUUAAAAGAACAUGAACUGGAAGAUGUUCGGGAUUACCUCGAAAGUAAGUAAUAAUAAUGCGAUAUCCAAUUUAAAAUAAUUGUGAAUUGAAGAGAAUUAAUAAUUGGGCACUUGGUAUUCCUGCGAAUUGCACAGCACGUGGUUUUUUUUCCUGGAAAACUACAUUGAGCAUACACAUGUAUACAGGCAAAAUACUACAAAUUAAAUAUAUAUGAACAUAGAACCAAACCGCGAAAAGAACACACUUUUUAUAGUAUUUUUUUCGCUAAAUACAUAUGUACUUAUUUAUGUGCAUACCCUGCAGUUCCACAAUUGAGUAUAAGCGCCUAAUCAUCACGAUGUCGACUGCGACGUCGGCAGAGCAGCCAGCGAGGCCGGCAGAGCUGAGCGCAACGACGGCAAAGAGACGCACUCUCAGUCGGGUUAGUGAUGUAAAAAAACAUCGAUGCAUCGAGCAUCGAUGAUUUUUCGGCGAUGUUUUUCGAUGUUUUUCGAUGUUUUAUGUUAUGCCGAUGUUUAUCGAUGCAUCGAUGUUUAACCAAAACAUCGGGCGUCGAGUUGCACAACAUUGCAGAACAUAUGGUUUCAGUGCCGCACAGACAAAUUCGCGGUUUUUGUUUUAGUUUACCGUGUUUGCAAUGCCAAAAAUAACAACAAAGACAAGCUUUUGCUGGAGGCACUUUACAAAAGUUGACGGAAAUAGCGCAAAAUGCAAUAUUUGUGGCAAAGUUUUUAAGACUGCGGGUAACACGACCAAUAUGAAGGACCACCUGCGUUCCCUUCAUAAAAUUGAUCAACAUGUUGGAGUGCGUGCAGUACCUGAUUCUAGUGUUGCGGCACAAGUUUCCAUUGCUGAAAGCUUUAGAAAUAUAGCGGAUUAUGGCAUCGAUGGGGAUAAGAACAAAAAAAUCAAGGAUGCCAUUAUUUACAUGAUAUCAAAAGAUGUUCAACCAUUUUCCAUAGUCGAAAACCCAGGCUUGUUGUUAGAAAUUGAUAAGCGUUUGGGUUCAAUAGAGCAGGUCUCAAUUCUGGCAAUGGCUACAGUUCUUGACCCAAGAUUUAAGAAACUGCAUUUUAAAGACCCUCAGGCCUGCUCAAACUCUAUUAUAAAAAUCAAGUCUAUGGUAAAACCGAUGGGCAACGACAACAAUAGUAAUGAUGAGCACAACUAAAUCCAAUUCUUUUUGGGACCACCAUCACCAGCUGGCACAAUCUCAUAAGCCUAAGGGGGAUAUUGAUGUGGAGAUGAUAGCGUACCUGCGAAUGCCAUUAGCGUCAUUUGAAAGCAACCCUCUACAAGUAUGGGAAGGUUUGAAAAACACAUAUCCCAAUUUACAUAAAAUGGCGCUGCAAUUUUUACCGGUAGUAGGAUCGUCGGUUCCUUCUGAACGGGUUUUUUCAGCGGCAUCAUAUGUCUUAAGCUAGAGAAGAAACAGGUUAAGACCAGACCGAUUAAGCCGCAUUUUAUUUUUGCAAAGCAUCGACAAAAAAUACUUUUUUGGAAAAAUUUAAUUACUUAUUAUAAUUAUAAUAAUUAAUAUUGCUUUAAAAGCAUAACAAAAAGACAGCUAAGGAAGCAUUUAUUGUUACAUUAUUUUGUUUUUAUUAUUAUUUUUGAUUCUGAAUGUAAUGAAAAAUAGUGCUAAGGAAGCAUUUAUUUUUAUAUUAUUAUUUUAUUAUUUUUGAUUCUCAAUGUAAUGAAAAAGACUGCUGAAUGCUCAUGAAUUGAUAUAGUUUUAAGUUCGUUUAUAAAAUUGUUAACAAAACCCUUCAAUGAAGAAAUAAAAAGGAAAAAACUAAGAAAGCUUUUAUUUUUGUAGUCUUAAUUCCUUCUUAUUUAAAUAUUAAAAAAUCUCAAUAAAAAAUUUAAUAGGCUUCUACAAAUUGAAUUAACGAAAAAUAACGGAAUGGGUUGAAAACAUCGAUGCAUCGAUGUUUCUAGCCGAUGUUUCACAAAACAUCGAUGUAUCAUUUUGCAAACAACGAUGAAGAUCGACAUCGAUGUUUCGACCCAAAUUUACAUCACUAAGUCGGGUUACGCAAAGAGAACGCUCAAAAAGUACUUUUGGGCUCUCCCUCUCUCGCCAUGUCUCAGCUGGAAAAAUGCGGGUGCAGGCAAGGAGGCCCAGCAAUUAAAAUGUAGACUUUUGUGCACCCUUGCCUUUUAAAUAAUGCAACAUUUUUUCGUAAAUGUUAAAACAACAAAUUAAAAUAAUAGUUUUGGGUUUUAAAAUAUUCGUAUUGUUUUGUGAAGUUUUAAAAAUAUAUUUUUAUAAAACGAUUUGCAUAGUCGGAUAUGUCUAUAAAUAUCCUGCUUUUAUGUGCAAGGUGCAUAGACCAAACUGGACAUGCAAAAAAAAACAGAGCAACAACGGAUAAGAGGAUCCGUUUUUCUGGAAGGCACGCGCCUUUUUCGUUUCUUUCACUUGCGUUUACUUAUGUGAAGGAGUUAGAAUUACCCGCAAUAAACGUAGUUAAAUAAAAUAAGUCAGUGGUAUAAAAGUGAUACCUAUACGAUUCCCAGGUAAGUCUGUCGCAGACCAAUAUUUAUUUAUAUAAAUAGACAAAUGAAUGAAUCUGUGAAAGAAUUUUAAAAUCUUAUUGAGUGCAAUGUUCCUAGAAAUCGAAAAUAAGAGAUGUUUGUAUUUAAAACUUAUGUUUGUGGUUAAAAUUUGUUAAAAAUGAAUAUUAAUAACAUUAAACCACAGUUUUUACUUUUGUGUACGUACACAAACAUGGCUAUUUAAAUAAAAGUCUCAAUUUUCAGUCCCUGGAAAAGUGUUAGUUUUCCCGCAAACGCAAAAUCAAAAAAUGUUAAUAAAUAAUACAAAGAUAUAUAAAUAUCGUGUGGUAUAUUUUUUAAAAUAAUUUUUAACAAGAAACAAAAAAAAAAUGAAGUGACCGAAAACAAAACUUUCAGAAUUUCUUCUCUUGUUUUUUAAUAUUUAAGUUUACUUGUAAGCUUACUUUUUAAAAGACUCCUGUCAUUUUCUUUAAAUGCCAAAGUUAACAUUUUCUUUACAAAUACUUACAAAUAACGAUUACCUUCGGUCACUCGUUAUACCCGUUACUCGUAGAGUAAAAGGGUAUACUUGAUUCGUCGGAAAGUAUGUAACAGGCAGAACAAGGCGUUUCCGACCCCAUU
This is a long non-coding RNA of Drosophila subpulchrella, 7836 nucleotides long. RefSeq lists it as uncharacterized. The record is from RefSeq and is a predicted model, not a curated record. Lineage: Eukaryota; Metazoa; Arthropoda; Insecta; Diptera; Drosophilidae. The transcript has 3 exons.